RNAcentral lists this long non-coding RNA (388 nucleotides) under Homo sapiens (human). RNAcentral describes it as "non-protein coding lnc-ARHGAP42-6:1". Lineage: Eukaryota; Metazoa; Chordata; Mammalia; Primates; Hominidae. The record is from RNAcentral.
GAAAGCCUUGUGAAUCAACUGAAGACUUCAGUGGACUCUGCGGGAUUUGGGUGCCCGGAAGAGAUAGGGAAAGUGUUCUCCAUCAAGGAAGCAGCAUAUCUGCAAGCAUGGAGAUGUGACUGGCAAUAGAAGAGGAGAGUCAGUGGAUUCUAGAGGAAGAUGCCUGCUUCCCUUUCGCUUCUCUGCUAUGUUAUGACACAGCAAGAGGCCCUCAUCAGGAGCUAACCAGAUUUGGCCACCAGUCUUGGACUUCCCAACCUCCUGAACUGUGAGUCAAAGAAAACUUUUCUCUUUUCUUGACAAAUUACCCAGUCUCAAGUAUAUUCUGUUAUAGCAACAGAAAACCAAAUAUAUCAUAAUAAAUGUAAAUGAUCUAAACUUCCCAAGU